ACCUAGCAAGAUCACAUGCAAUCAUAUCAAGACAUAGCAUCAUAAGGUAUGGCAAGGAUGGUAUGACAUGGAUGCAUGCAUGCAAAAUAAGAACAAAAGGUGAAACAUGAAAUCAUGCAUGCAUAGAUAACUCUCAUGACAAAGUCAAGGUGGUCCCACAUGGAAGGUUACAAAAAGGGAAAGUCUUACACUUGGGGCACU
This 201-nucleotide long non-coding RNA is filed under the name Hordeum vulgare. RNAcentral's name for it is "long non-coding RNA (HVUL_LNC000316)". The record is from RNAcentral. Lineage: Eukaryota; Viridiplantae; Streptophyta; Magnoliopsida; Poales; Poaceae.